RNAcentral lists this ribosomal RNA (271 nucleotides) under uncultured archaeon. RNAcentral describes it as "partial 16S ribosomal RNA". It matches the Rfam family "Archaeal small subunit ribosomal RNA", at positions 477 to 747 of the family's 1478-position model. The record is from RNAcentral.
CAGCGCCACGAGUGGGGACCACAUUUAUUGGGCCUAAAGCGUCCGUAGCCUGUUCGGUAAAUCUUUUGUGAAAUCAUCUCGCUCAACGUGAUGGAUUGCAGAAGACACUGCCAGACUUGGAACUGGGAGAGGUUAGAGGAAUUGCAGGGGUAGCGGUAAAAUGUUAUAAUCCCUGUAAGACCACCUGUGGCGAAGGCGUCUAACUAGAACGGUUUCGACGGUGAGGGACGAAAGCCAGGGGAGCGAUCCGGAUUAGAGACCCGAGUAGUCC